This 468-nucleotide ribosomal RNA is filed under the name uncultured bacterium. Its description in RNAcentral is "partial 16S ribosomal RNA". It matches the Rfam family "Bacterial small subunit ribosomal RNA", at positions 28 to 507 of the family's 1533-position model. The record is from RNAcentral.
GACGAACGCUUGCGGCGUGCUUAACACAUGCAAUUCGAACGGACAGGCCCUGCUUUUGUGGUGUGCUCGAGUGGCGAACGGGUUUGUAACACGUUAGUAACCUGCCCUUUACUUUGGGAUAACUUCAGGAAACUUGGGCUAAUACCGGAUAGGAUCUCCUCCUUCCUGUCGGGGGUUUGAAAGUUUCGGUGGUUGGGGCUGGACUCCCGGAUUAUCCGCUUGUUGGUGGGGUAGUGGCUUACCAAGGCCUCGUCGGGUAGCUGGCCUGAGAGGGUGACCGGCCAAAUUGGGAAAGAGAAGCGGACCCAACUCCUACGGGAGGCAGCAGUGAGGAAGAUUGCACAAUGGGCGGAAUCCUGAUGAAGCAAAGACGCGUGCGGGAUGACGGAAAUAGAGUUGUAAACCGAUAACGAAUGUGACGAAGCGUGAGUGACGGUAAUGGGUAAAGAAGCACCAAAUAACUACGAG